Molecule: ribosomal RNA, 679 nt
Filed under: Microbacterium lacticum
Lineage: Bacteria; Bacillati; Actinomycetota; Actinomycetes; Micrococcales; Microbacteriaceae
Description: bacterial SSU rRNA
Rfam family: Bacterial small subunit ribosomal RNA
Source: RNAcentral
AUGGCUCAGGAUGAACGCUGGCGGCGUGCUUAACACAUGCAAGUCGAACGGUGAAGGCGGAGCUUGCUCUGCUGGAUCAGUGGCGAACGGGUGAGUAACACGUGAGCAAUCUGCCCCUGACUCUGGGAUAAGCGCUGGAAACGGCGUCUAAUACUGGAUACGAGCUGCGAAGGCAUCUUCAGCAGCUGGAAAGAACUUCGGUCAGGGAUGAGCUCGCGGCCUAUCAGCUUGUUGGUGAGGUAACGGCUCACCAAGGCGUCGACGGGUAGCCGGCCUGAGAGGGUGACCGGCCACACUGGGACUGAGACACGGCCCAGACUCCUACGGGAGGCAGCAGUGGGGAAUAUUGCACAAUGGGCGAAAGCCUGAUGCAGCAACGCCGCGUGAGGGACGACGGCCUUCGGGUUGUAAACCUCUUUUAGCAGGGAAGAAGCGAAAGUGACGGUACCUGCAGAAAAAGCGCCGGCUAACUACGUGCCAGCAGCCGCGGUAAUACGUAGGGCGCAAGCGUUAUCCGGAAUUAUUGGGCGUAAAGAGCUCGUAGGCGGUUUGUCGCGUCUGCUGUGAAACCCCGAGGCUCAACCUCGGGCCUGCAGUGGGUACGGGCAGACUAGAGUGCGGUAGGGGAGAUUGGAAUUCCUGGUGUAGCGGUGGAAUGCGCAGGUAUCAGGAGGAACAC